GCCCAUCCGCGCUCGUGCGCCUAGCCCCGUCCCUUGCGGCGGGCUCCGGCCCGAUGCGGACAUUGGCCCUCCG
RNAcentral lists this unclassified non-coding RNA (73 nucleotides) under Machaerina glomerata. RNAcentral's name for it is "partial miscellaneous RNA". Lineage: Eukaryota; Viridiplantae; Streptophyta; Magnoliopsida; Poales; Cyperaceae. The record is from RNAcentral.